ACUUCGGUGGUGUAGUGGUCAAAACCCUUGCUUGCUAAUCAGGAGGACGUGGGUUUAAUCCCAGCCGAGGUA
This 72-nucleotide transfer RNA is filed under the name Diaphorina citri (Asian citrus psyllid). It matches the Rfam family "tRNA". From Rfam's summary of the family: Transfer RNA (tRNA) molecules are approximately 80 nucleotides in length. Their secondary structure includes four short double-helical elements and three loops (D, anti-codon, and T loops). Lineage: Eukaryota; Metazoa; Arthropoda; Insecta; Hemiptera; Psyllidae. The record is from Rfam by way of RNAcentral.